AUUGAACGCUGGCGGCAUGCCUUACACAUGCGAGUCGAACGGCAGCACGGGUGCUUGCACCUGGUGGCGAGUGGCGAACGGGUGAGUAAUACAUCGGAACAUGUCCUGUAGUGGGGGAUAGCCCGGCGAAAGCCGGAUUAAUACCGCAUACGAUCUACGGAUGAAAGCGGGGGACCUUCGGGCCUCGCGCUAUAGGGUUGGCCGAUGGCUGAUUAGCUAGUUGGUGGGGUAAAGGCCUACCAAGGCGACGAUCAGUAGCUGGUCUGAGAGGACGACCAGCCACACUGGGACUGAGACACGGCCCAGACUCCUACGGGAGGCAGCAGUGGGGAAUUUUGGACAAUGGGCGAAAGCCUGAUCCAGCAAUGCCGCGUGUGUGAAGAAGGCCUUCGGGUUGUAAAGCACUUUUGUCCGGAAAGAAAUCCUUGGCUCUAAUACAGUCGGGGGAUGACGGUACCGGAAGAAUAAGCACCGGCUAACUACGUGCCAGCAGCCGCGGUAAUACGUAGGGUGCGAGCGUUAAUCGGAAUUACUGGGCGUAAAGCGUGCGCAGGCGGUUUGCUAAGACCGAUGUGAAAUCCCCGGGCUCAACCUGGGAACUGCAUUGGUGACUGGCAGGCUAGAGUAUGGCAGAGGGGGGUAGAAUUCCACGUGUAGCAGUGAAAUGCGUAGAGAUGUGGAGGAAUACCGAUGGCGAAGGCAGCCCCCUGGGCCAAUACUGACGCUCAUGCACGAAAGCGUGGGGAGCAAACAGGAUUAGGUACCCUGGUAGUCCACGCCCUAAACGAUGUCAACUAGUUGUUGGGGAUUCAUUUCCUUAGUAACGUAGCUAACGCGUGAAGUUGACCGCCUGGGGAGUACGGUCGCAAGAUUAAAACUCAAAGGAAUUGACGGGGACCCGCACAAGCGGUGGAUGAUGUGGAUUAAUUCGAUGCAACGCGAAAAACCUUACCUACCCUUGACAUGGUCGGAAUCCCGCUGAGAGGUGGGAGUGCUCGAAAGAGAACCGGCGCACAGGUGCUGCAUGGCUGUCGUCAGCUCGUGUCGUGAGAUGUUGGGUUAAGUCCCGCAACGAGCGCAACCCUUGUCCUUAGUUGCUACGCAAGAGCACUCUAAGGAGACUGCCGGUGACAAACCGGAGGAAGGUGGGGAUGACGUCAAGUCCUCAUGGCCCUUAUGGGUAGGGCUUCACACGUCAUACAAUGGUCGGAACAGAGGGUUGCCAACCCGCGAGGGGGAGCUAAUCCCAGAAAACCGAUCGUAGUCCGGAUUGCACUCUGCAACUCGAGUGCAUGAAGCUGGAAUCGCUAGUAAUCGCGGAUCAGCAUGCCGCGGUGAAUACGUUCCCGGGUCU
Molecule: ribosomal RNA, 1354 nt
Filed under: uncultured bacterium
Lineage: Bacteria
Description: bacterial SSU rRNA
Rfam family: Bacterial small subunit ribosomal RNA
Source: RNAcentral